RNAcentral lists this ribosomal RNA (459 nucleotides) under uncultured bacterium. RNAcentral describes it as "partial 16S ribosomal RNA". It matches the Rfam family "Bacterial small subunit ribosomal RNA", at positions 338 to 795 of the family's 1533-position model. The record is from RNAcentral.
CCUACGGGUGGCAGCAGUGAGGAAUAUUGGUCAAUGGCCGAGAGGCUGAACCAGCCAAGUCGCGUGAGGGUAGAUUGUCCUAUGGAUUGUAAACCUCUUUUGUCAGGGAGCAAAGUCACCCACGUUUGGGUGUUGGAGAGUACCUGAAGAAAAAGCAUCGGCUAACUCCGUGCCAGCAGCCGCGGUAAUACGGGGGAUGCGAGCGUUUUCCGGAUUUAUUGGGUUUAAAGGGUGCGUAGGCGGGUUAUCGAGUCAGCGGUAAAAUCGUGGAGCUAAAGUCCGUCCAGCCGUUGAAACUGAUGAUCGUGAGGGGGCGAGAAGUAUGAGGAAUGCGUGGUGUAGCGGUGAAAUGCAUAGAUAUCACGCAGAACUCCGAGUGCGAAGGCAGCAUACCGGCGCCCGACUGACGCUGAAGCACGAAAGCGUGGGUAUCGAACAGGAUUAGAUACCCGGGUAGUC